RNAcentral lists this ribosomal RNA (459 nucleotides) under uncultured bacterium. RNAcentral's name for it is "partial 16S ribosomal RNA". It matches the Rfam family "Bacterial small subunit ribosomal RNA", at positions 338 to 795 of the family's 1533-position model. The record is from RNAcentral.
CCUACGGGUGGCAGCAGUGAGGAAUAUUGGUCAAUGGGCGCGAGCCUGAACCAGCCAAGCCGCGUGAGGGAAGAAGGUCCUAUGGAUCGUAAACCUCUUUUGUCGGGGAGCAAAAGACGCCACGCGUGGCGUUCCGAGAGUACCCGAAGAAAAAGCAUCGGCUAACUCCGUGCCAGCAGCCGCGGUAAUACGGAGGAUGCGAGCGUUAUCCGGAUUUAUUGGGUUUAAAGGGUGCGCAGGCGGAAGAUCAAGUCAGCGGUAAAAUUGCGGGGCUCAACCUCUUCGAGCCGUUGAAACUGGUGGUCUUGAGUGCGUGAGAGGUAUGCGGAAUGCGGGGUGUAGCGGUGAAAUGCAUAGAUAUCACGCAGAACUCCGAUUGCGAAGGCAGCAUACCGGCGCUCAACUGACGCUCAUGCACGAAAGUGUGGGUAUCGAACAGGAUUAGAUACCCGUGUAGUC